Molecule: long non-coding RNA, 263 nt
Filed under: Lathyrus oleraceus (garden pea)
Lineage: Eukaryota; Viridiplantae; Streptophyta; Magnoliopsida; Fabales; Fabaceae
Description: Pisum sativum (pea) long non-coding RNA (PSAT_LNC035082)
Source: RNAcentral
UUAUUGAAUUUUUUUGGAAAUUAUUUAUUUUCACAAUUACUAUAACAAUUUUAAAUGAUAUUAACAUUUAAGGUUAUUAGUAAAUGCAAAAAGACCCAACACUAAAGAGCUAAAUGAAAAAAAAUAAAGAACACUUUUCUUCUUCCUCAUUCCUAUAUGCAACUCCAAGAAUCCUAGAAUUCAAAUCAGCCCCAAGAACCAUUCUCAAUCAAACAAUGAAUGGAUGAGAUGCAAAAUCAUUCUCUUUAUCUAAAUAAAACCAA